This 64-nucleotide microRNA precursor is filed under the name Caenorhabditis brenneri. The record is from RNAcentral. Lineage: Eukaryota; Metazoa; Nematoda; Chromadorea; Rhabditida; Rhabditidae.
UAUGACACUGGGACGGUUAGGAACCGAACACAGCUGUGUUUCCUAAACGCAGCAGUGUCGUAAA